UGGGGAAUCUUGGACAAUGGGGGCAACCCUGAUCCAGCCAUGCCGCGUGAGUGAUGAAGGCCUUAGGGUCGUAAAGCUCUUUCGCCUGUGAAGAUAAUGACGGUAGCAGGUAAAGAAACCCCGGCUAACUCCGUGCCAGCAGCCGCGGUAAUACGGAGGGGGUUAGCGUUGUUCGGAAUUACUGGGCGUAAAGCGCGCGUAGGCGGAUUAGUAAGUCAGAGGUGAAAUCCCGGGGCUCAACCCCGGAACUGCCUUUGAUACUGCUAGUCUUGAGUUCGAGAGAGGUAAGUGGAAUUCCGAGUGUAGAGGUGAAAUUCGUAGAUAUUCGGAGGAACACCAGUGGCGAAGGCGGCUUACUGGCUCGAUACUGACGCUGAGGUGCGAAAGUGUGGGGAGCAAACAGGAUUAGAUACCCUGGUAGUCCACACCGUAAACGAUGAAUGCCAGUCGUCGGGUAGCAUGCUAUUCGGUGACACACCUAACGGAUUAAGCAUUCCGCCUGGGGAGUACGGUCGCAGA
RNAcentral lists this ribosomal RNA (519 nucleotides) under uncultured bacterium. RNAcentral describes it as "bacterial SSU rRNA". It matches the Rfam family "Bacterial small subunit ribosomal RNA", at positions 355 to 893 of the family's 1533-position model. The record is from RNAcentral.